AUAAAAAUGAAAGACUGGUGCAUUGUGCAGUUUAGCACUGGUGGUACAGAAAUAGUCCCUAGAUCAUGGAUAAAUGGGGAGAAAUUGUCAUGGCCUCCAUAUCCUCCGUGAGACACAUUCAGGAUCCACGACGCAGUAAAGAGGAGAGUUCAUCCUGGUGCAACAUGGCUCACCUAUGCACCAGUCCGACUUCUAAUAAGCCAUGGUGGGUAUCAUCUGGAUUGGUGUUGUAUAAAUGUAACAAUAACAAGUUUUUCGUGUCCUAAUUUAUGUCUGGCCAUACAUUGUGUUUGUACUUCCAGACACAUUUCACGAAGCAGAACGCAGUCUUCAGAAAUAUCUAAGUGAACACUGUGAUAUGUCUGACCUUCAGUCCGAAGCUGAAACUCAGACCAGUCAUAAAAGAAAGCACAAACCAAAUCCCCUGUACACAUAUAGUGACUCAGAGGAUGAGCAGCCCACAAAAAAAAUGGUUUCCCCAGGCCCCUCGAGUGAAAAUACCAGACCUGACGAGAGCUGUUAACGAACUCCGUGAGGAGGUCAGAGCCAUCCGCAAUACCGGCUGCAAUGAAUCGGUAGAUGCUGGGGUACUGCCUCUGGAUUUGCCCUUGCACAACAUUGAGGAGCUAAACAAUGCAGAGCCAGCUCUUCAAUCACAAGAGGCAA
Molecule: non-coding RNA, 666 nt
Organism: Maylandia zebra (zebra mbuna)
Lineage: Eukaryota; Metazoa; Chordata; Actinopteri; Cichliformes; Cichlidae
Source: RefSeq, a predicted model, not a curated record